Molecule: non-coding RNA, 24 nt
Filed under: Cricetulus griseus (Chinese hamster)
Lineage: Eukaryota; Metazoa; Chordata; Mammalia; Rodentia; Cricetidae
Source: RNAcentral
GAUGUGUUAGACCAAAUGGGGACG